GACGAACGCUGGCGGCGCGCCUAACACAUGCAAGUCGAACGGAGUCAAGAGGAGCUUGCUUUUCUUGACUUAGUGGCGAACGGGUGAGUAACGCGUGAGUUACCUGCCCUGGAGUGGGGGACAACAGUUGGAAACGACUGCUAAUACCGCAUAAGCCCACGGAUCCGCAUGGAUCUGCGGGAAAAGGAUUUAUUCGCUUCAGGAUGGACUCGCGUCCAAUUAGCUAGUUGGUGAGGUAACGGCCCACCAAGGCGACGAUUGGUAGCCGGACUGAGAGGUUGAACGGCCACAUUGGGACUGAGACACGGCACAGACUCCUACGGGAGGCAGCAGUGGGGGAUAUUGCACAAUGGGGGAAACCCUGAUGCAGCGACGCCGCGUGGAGGAAGAAGGUUUUCGGAUUGUAAACUCCUGUCGUUAGGGACGAUAAUGACGGUACCUAACAAGAAAGCACCGGCUAACUACGUG
This 468-nucleotide ribosomal RNA is filed under the name uncultured bacterium. Its description in RNAcentral is "partial 16S ribosomal RNA". It matches the Rfam family "Bacterial small subunit ribosomal RNA", at positions 28 to 507 of the family's 1533-position model. The record is from RNAcentral.